UACGUAGGGUGCGAGCGUUGUCCGGAAUUAUUGGGCGUAAAGAGCUCGUAGGCGGUGUGUCGCGUCGGCCGUGAAAACCUGCAGCUUAACUGUGGGCUUGCGGUCGAUACGGGCAUCACUGGAGUUCGGCAGGGGAGACUGGAAUUCCUGGUGUAGCGGUGAAAUGCGCAGAUAUCAGGAGGAACACCGGUGGCGAAGGCGGGUCUCUGGGCCGUAACUGACGCUGAGGAGCGAAAGCGUGGGGAGCGAACAGG
This 254-nucleotide ribosomal RNA is filed under the name uncultured bacterium. RNAcentral's name for it is "partial 16S ribosomal RNA". It matches the Rfam family "Bacterial small subunit ribosomal RNA", at positions 524 to 776 of the family's 1533-position model. The record is from RNAcentral.